RNAcentral lists this long non-coding RNA (2689 nucleotides) under Nicotiana tabacum (common tobacco). RNAcentral's name for it is "long non-coding RNA (NTAB_LNC009261)". Lineage: Eukaryota; Viridiplantae; Streptophyta; Magnoliopsida; Solanales; Solanaceae. The record is from RNAcentral.
CAGUGUUUGAAUGGAAUUCAGCCCUCGAGCUUGAAUACCCUCGAAUUGAUUGGUGCAAGAAUAGUUAAAAAUAUAAUAAGUUGAUGAACAAGAAUAUGAGCUAAGGAGAAAGUGUUACAUUGCUUUGAUACGUGAGAACAAUCUGUCUUACAAAUAAUUAGAACCAUCUUUAUAUAGUACAGGAAUCCUAUCUAUGGUACAAUUCUAAUUAUGGAAGUAAAUCUCAUGAUUAACUAAACAACCACCCUUGAUUUGAUCUGUUCCGAGAUUUUCGUCACGAUUUUCGACUAGUCACGGUCUUGCUCGAUUUUUGUCCUGCUCAACCUCGAUCAUUAUCGGUUUCGACCUUCCUAGGUACCCUGAAUCUGAACUCGGUGUCGUAUCCUCGUGCUUCGAUCUGAUCUAUUACGGGAUCGAUUUCGAUCCUUCACACCAGCCUCAAUAAAUCAGCAAAAUCGAGUGAGUCCAAUUUUAACUGUAUACAGCAAGUUAUGGAUCCUAAAUGAUUAUUUUAUUUUCUUGAUCAAUCUCAAUUGAUUAAUUUGUUUUCUUGAUCAAUCUCAAAACUAAUAUCUACAUGACACUUUUGCAUAUAUUUGAUGCUAAUAUAUUAGAUAGACUCUUCAGUUUCUUUUACUUUUUGGAGUAUGUAAUGUAAGAAAAAAUAGGAUUUAAGCUAUAUACAUCCAGGAAGUAUAAAGAUUUUUUUUAUACCAUAAGUGCAAUUUAACCUAUUACACUAGGUUAGUUAUCAUUAUAUUUACCAAGUUACCAAAUAAUGCACAUUGUAAAAAUUACCUGUAAUUAUCUUAUAAGUGACAUGGUUGUGUAAAUAUUUUUUUACGCUUUCUAUGGAAUUUAAACUCUAAAAAGGGCCAAAUUGGUACAGGAUUGCUAGACAUUCAUACAUACAUACGUAUAGGUGCAUAAAUUAAGCUCGAAUAGGCAGAUGACUAAACACUUCAGCAAACACAAGAAUGUCAACUUUACUAGGUCAUAUAUUCUUCAAAUAGUUGUUGAAGGGCAACCAAGUAAUGAAAAUCAUGCCAAUCAUUUACCUACCAAAAUGAACUUGUAAUAGUUAAAUGGUGCACCACUAGUUAAACUUAUGUUAGGUUAUUAACUAUAUUUCCACAAAACAAAAGUACAGUACGUGUCAUCGUGUAAUUAAUUAAUUUGAAACCAUAAAAUAAAAUGCAAGCUUGUAAACUUAUUAACAAGCAUGUCGAUCUUUCUCGUGUCCUGGAAAUUUGUUUUACUUGCUCAAUCUUGAUAUUAUCUGCAUAGAAAACUAGACAUGACAAACAAACAAGCACACACAUCACAAGAAAUACAUUCGUGGGUGAAAAGUAAAACCUUGUCGAGAAUCUGGCGACCUAAAAUCAGAAAUACUGAGGUCUAGUCUCAUUUACUCCGUCAGAUCAAGUUCACUAUUUUUGGGGUUUUCCUAAAGAAAGUUUAAGAAAAAAAUAUUAUUUGGAUCCUUGACUUUGAUUUCCUGAGAAUUUCCACAAAAACUGAUAAACAUGAACUUAAAAUAAUAAAUUAAAGAAAAAGAAGUUUAAUAACAACAGUAGUUCCACAGAAAUUUGGCUUCCAUUAACGGGAAAGAGUUUUGUUGGCUUAUUUGCAAUUGGACAUGCCUAAAGUGCAACAAUCAUAUGUCAUUAGAACCAUCAUUGUGUUAUAAUACUAGACUAGGAGUUAAAAAAGGAAUUAAGAAGAUAAUCCACAGUAAAAAUAAAGAUACAGAAUAAUUACCUGAGAUAAAUCAAUGUCUUGACUAUAUAUCCUUGAGAGAGUAAGUCAAGCUCAAAUGAAGCCUUUUAAUUUGUUUCUGUAUUGGUGGUGAGUGAUUGAAGCUGCUAGAUGACCUGAUGGAACCAAACCCAUGAAAGCUACCUAUAUUCUCUUUCAAUAAAAACUUUGCAAAAUUCCAAUUUCUUUUCCAAAUCACUUAGCUAAAUUCAAACCCAAAACACCUCAAGAUUAUUCUUUGCAAGAAAAUAUAUAUAUAGCAAGAAAUGGACUUUGUUCGUACCAGAUCAUGCUGGCAGCUUCAACCUCUCAAAAACCAAUAUACAAAUAUAUACUCUAUAACAAGAAUGGAUUCAAGAAAGAGCAAAUAAUGAAGAAAGGGUAAUAGUCUAUUUGAGGAAGCAUUUUAAGGUAUAAGAAGGAAGUGGGGCUUUUUGCCUUCGGUGUGGCUGAUGCAACACAAAACACACAAGAAGCAUGCAUGCUUUGGGUUUUGCAGAAAAUGGAUGGAUGUCCCUCGUGAAUCUCCCCUCCAUCUACUACUCCUAUAUAUAUAUAAAUUCCCCUCUUUACUUUUUCCUUUUCCUCCCCUUGUUUGCACUCUUGUCACUAUAUAGAGGCUUUUAAUGAUUUGAAAAGGGUGCGCUAAGCUCCCGCUACGUGCGUGGUUUGUGAAAGGGUCGGAUUACAAAGGUUUAUCGUACGUAAUCUUACCUUGUAUUUCUGCAAAAUAUUGUUUCAAAAUUUAAACAUUGUGAGUUCUGAAUUUGAAAGAAUAUAGAUUAUUUAAAUUUAAUUAUACUAACUUCUAUAGAACUCAUUGUUGGAUCCAUCCAUUAAUUGGUUUUUGCUAAUUCUUACAGCUGUUGACAUUGACUUAUUGCCUCCUUGCCUGAACGUUUCUUUUUCUAGUAUUUUCUCUCUUUUCCCC